GCAGUCGAGCGGUAGAGAGGUGCUUGCACCUCUUGAGAGCGGCGGACGGGUGAGUAAAGCCUAGGAAUCUGCCUGGUAGUGGGGGAUAACGCUCGGAAACGGACGCUAAUACCGCAUACGUCCUACGGGAGAAAGCAGGGGACCUUCGGGCCUUGCGCUAUCAGAUGAGCCUAGGUCGGAUUAGCUAGUUGGUGAGGUAAUGGCUCACCAAGGCGACGAUCCGUAACUGGUCUGAGAGGAUGAUCAGUCACACUGGAACUGAGACACGGUCCAGACUCCUACGGGAGGCAGCAGUGGGGAAUAUUGGACAAUGGGCGAAAGCCUGAUCCAGCCAUGCCGCGUGUGUGAAGAAGGUCUUCGGAUUGUAAAGCACUUUAAGUUGGGAGGAAGGGCAUUAACCUAAUACGUUAGUGUUUUGACGUUACCGACAGAAUAAGCACCGGCUAACUCUGUGCCAGCAGCCGCGGUAAUACAGAGGGUGCAAGCGUUAAUCGGAAUUACUGGGCGUAAAGCGCGCGUAGGUGGUUCGUUAAGUUGGAUGUGAAAUCCCCGGGCUCAACCUGGGAACUGCAUUCAAAACUGUCGAGCUAGAGUAUGGUAGAGGGUGGUGGAAUUUCCU
Molecule: ribosomal RNA, 619 nt
Filed under: uncultured bacterium
Lineage: Bacteria
Description: bacterial SSU rRNA
Rfam family: Bacterial small subunit ribosomal RNA
Source: RNAcentral